AGUGAACGCUGGCGGUAGGCCUAACACAUGCAAGUCGAACGGCAGCACAGUAAGAGCUUGCUCUUACGGGUGGCGAGUGGCGGACGGGUGAGGAAUACAUCGGAAUCUACUUUUUCGUGGGGGAUAACGUCGGGAAACAUACGCUAAUACCGCAUACGACCUACGGGUGAAAGCAGGGGAUCUUCGGACCUUGCGCGAUUGAAUGAGCCGAUGUCGGAUUAGCUAGUUGGCGGGGUAAAGGCCCACCAAGGCGACGAUCCGUAGCUGGUCUGAGAGGAUGAGCAGCCACACUGGGACUGAGACAGGGUCCAGACUCCUACGGGAGGCAGCAGUGGGGAAUAGGGGAGAAUGGGCGCAAGCCUGAUCCAGCCAGACCGCGUGGGUGAAGAAGGCCGUCGGGUGGUAAAGCCCGUUUGUUGGGAAAGAAAAGCAGCAGGUUAAUACCCCGCUGUUCUGACGGUACCCAAAGAAUAAGCACCGGCUAACUUCGUG
RNAcentral lists this ribosomal RNA (492 nucleotides) under uncultured bacterium. Its description in RNAcentral is "partial 16S ribosomal RNA". It matches the Rfam family "Bacterial small subunit ribosomal RNA", at positions 29 to 507 of the family's 1533-position model. The record is from RNAcentral.